RNAcentral lists this ribosomal RNA (253 nucleotides) under uncultured bacterium. Its description in RNAcentral is "partial 16S ribosomal RNA". It matches the Rfam family "Bacterial small subunit ribosomal RNA", at positions 524 to 776 of the family's 1533-position model. The record is from RNAcentral. RNAcentral also lists the same sequence under 1 other name.
UACGAAGGGGGCUAGCGUUGUUCGGAUUUACUGGGCGUAAAGCGCACGUAGGCGGAUCUUUAAGUCAGAGGUGAAAUCCCAGGGCUCAACCCUGGAACUGCCUUUGAUACUGGGGAUCUCGAGUCCGGGAGAGGUGAGUGGAACUGCGAGUGUAGAGGUGAAAUUCGUAGAUAUUCGCAAGAACACCAGUGGCGAAGGCGGCUCACUGGCCCGGAACUGACGCUGAGGUGCGAAAGCGUGGGGAGCAAACAGG